Long non-coding RNA from Homo sapiens (human), 1687 nucleotides. Ensembl annotates it as long intergenic non-protein coding RNA 3076. Lineage: Eukaryota; Metazoa; Chordata; Mammalia; Primates; Hominidae. The record is from Ensembl.
AGAAAUCUGAGAGAAAAUAAGACAUGUAAAGUCCUGCUCACCCAUGAAAGUUUCUAAAUACAGGAGCUCUGAUUCUAAAAUCAUCUCCAUUUAUAUUGGUUUAUCUUUUUAAGACACUUUGUUGUUUCAGAGCUACCUUGCCAUGAAGAUUCAUUACCUUUUCUUUGCUCUUUUCUUCCUUGGCCAGCUGUCUACCUCAGGAACUGAAGAUGCUUAUGAAGUCAUUAGUAUCAUGGACUGUAAAAAUCAAACACUGUGUAAUUCUCAGAAUACAACUAGACACUGCUCUCAUGGGAAGGAGAUUGAACUAUGUGUCUUGCGUCUUGGAAAAAAUGCAAAGCGACUCACUAACCAUGAAGAAACAGCAAAUUAGGAAGACAGGAUGAUCAAUUUCCUUGUCUUAUUAAAAAAUAAAGUCUGCUUUCUUUUCUCUCUCCUUUUAUUCUCUAGUGACACAUUUAUUUAUUGACAGUUUGGACAAAAGUUUAUCAAGGAACUUUUCACGCUUAGGAUGAAUUACAACAAGAACCAACAUUUCUUUAGUUCCAGCAGCUCUAUGCAACUCAUUUUCAUCUAGCAUUACCUCUCCAAAACCUGAAUCUCCACAAGAAAGCCACACAGCAAUUAACCAGUGUUGCAAGAACUGCUUCUGUAAUAAAGGUGGGAAGACAAAUUGAUGCAACCCUCUUGAAAAGCAAUCUGGCAAUAUGAACCAAGAGCCAUGAAAAGGCUUAUGCUAUUAUAAUUAAAUGGCUGUAAUGUUGGCUGUAAAUAUGAAAUUUUCUUUCACACACCAAUGUUUUCAAGAAUGGCAUAUUCACAUGCAGUAUGUGAUGAAAGAAGCAGUAAAGGAUGCUAACAAAGCUAUUUCUUUGGACAAUCUGAACCUGACGGAGUCUUACUCUGUCGCCCAGGCAGGAGUGCAAUGGCACAAUCUUGGCUCACCACAACCUCCGCCUCCUGGGUUCAAGUGACUCUCCUGCCUGGCCAUAGAAGCAAACACAAACAUAGAGGAAUUGGCUUUGGGCAGAUGGAAGGACCUCAGAGAAAAGAAACAAAGGAAAGAAAACUGGAUGGAUAAAGGUUUGUAGAAAUACUAUUCACAGGAAGCAAAUAGGAAUUCCUUAUCGCUAAACAGACACUAAGUCAAUUGGUAAAGAUCUUGCCAGCUGGUGCCUGGGUGCAUAGACUGCCUAUGGCUCUUGAAUUGCAUGCUGAAAACUUCAUAAUGAAACCAGAAAAUCACAGAAGCAUAAACACAGCUGCUUAUGCCUAUAAAUUAUUGCUGGUGAAAAGGAUGUUUAAGCAGAGUGAGAGACUCUCAGCAAAAAAAGGUAACUGAAAGAGUGGUAAGUCAGACAAAGAAGAAAAAUGCCAAAGAAGAGGGUCAAGAACAACUCAUAUGACUCCGAAAUCCCUUACCCACAUUGGAGUUAUAAAAAGUUCAGGAGCUGGAGACAAAAGGCAGGUUCAUAAAGAGGAUUCCUUGGAGAGAGUUGUUAUAAUGCUAUGAGAAAAUUGAAGCCAACAGAAGUUAACUAACUUGCCUAAAAUAACACAGCUGUGGCAAAUUAGGACCAGAACCAAGGUCUCCUGACCUAAGUGCUACUCCCACCAUACUACAUGAUCUGCUGUUUAAAAUUUUGGUGAGCUUUAUAACAUAAAUAAAACUACAGAUGUGAAGGAC